AACGAACGCUGGCGGCAUGCCUAACACAUGCAAGUCGAACGAGACCUUCGGGUCUAGUGGCGCACGGGUGAGUAACGCGUGGGAAUCUGCCCUUGGGUUCGGAAUAACAGUUGGAAACGACUGCUAAUACCGGAUGAUGACGUAAGUCCAAAGAUUUAUCGCCCAAGGAUGAGCCCGCGUAGGAUUAGCUAGUUGGUGAGGUAAAGGCUCACCAAGGCGACGAUCCUUAGCUGGUCUGAGAGGAUGAUCAGCCACACUGGGACUGAGACACGGCCCAGACUCCUACGGGAGGCAGCAGUGGGGAAUAUUGGACAAUGGGCGAAAGCCUGAUCCAGCAAUGCCGCGUGAGUGAUGAAGGCCUUAGGGUUGUAAAGCUCUUUUACCCGGGAUGAUAAUGACAGUACCGGGAGAAUAAGCUCCGGCUAACUCCGUG
RNAcentral lists this ribosomal RNA (433 nucleotides) under uncultured bacterium. RNAcentral describes it as "partial 16S ribosomal RNA". It matches the Rfam family "Bacterial small subunit ribosomal RNA", at positions 29 to 507 of the family's 1533-position model. The record is from RNAcentral.